UACGGGAGGCAGCAGUGUGGAAUAUUGCACAACGGGCGCAAGCCUGAUCCAGCCAUGCCGCGUGUGUGAAGAAGGUCUUCGGAUUGUAAAGCACUCUAAGUUGGGAGGAAGGUCAUUAACUUAAUACGUUAGUGUUUUGACGUUACCGACAGAAUAAGCACCGGCUAACUUCGUGCCAGCAGCCGCGGUAAU
Molecule: ribosomal RNA, 192 nt
Filed under: uncultured bacterium
Lineage: Bacteria
Description: partial 16S ribosomal RNA
Rfam family: Bacterial small subunit ribosomal RNA
Source: RNAcentral